ACUACUGUUACUAUGACAUGGGGGGAUCUCUCAAACGUGACAUUGGACAAAAGAGACCAGGCACAGAAUAGUACACAUUAUACAAUUCCAUUUAUAUGAAGUUCAAAAACAGGAACACAUUGAGAGCCAGAGUCUGCAAGAGAAUGAGGCAACAGUUGACUUUUCUUCAACCUGAAUUUCACCUCCUCCUCCCUUCCUGUGAUCCUCUCUUCAGCUUCCAGGCACCAGCUCCCAGCAGAAGCGGAAAGUAUUGAAAAGGCCCAUGGGCAGACAGCCAGCAAAAAGAAGAAGCUGAAACAUCCCACAGCAGGGAAUUGCUAUGUAUGUAAGCCCCAUUUCAAGAACAACUAAUACAGAAAAAUCCAAAUCUUAAAACCUACAAAUUAGUGCACGAGUACUACAACUGAUGUGCCUUACAAACAGAUUUUUACUUAAUAAACAGACUCACUGUGAGAUCUUUGGCCAAUGGUU
Molecule: long non-coding RNA, 471 nt
Organism: Pongo pygmaeus (Bornean orangutan)
Lineage: Eukaryota; Metazoa; Chordata; Mammalia; Primates; Hominidae
Exons: 3
Source: RefSeq, a predicted model, not a curated record